UUCUAACCCUACUUGCUAAUUUUUCACUUUCUGUCUUCCUCAGCACUCACUCUCGCUCAGACUCUCACUUCUCAGUGUCGACAGACGGAGAUGAAGACGAACCGGCGACGCACAACCUAGAGCCCGGGACCCUCGAGGCCUCGACCGCGACCUGGAGCCCUCGACCGUCGAGCCCUCGACUUUGAGCUCGCGAUGCUCGAGCCCUCCGCUCUCACCUCUCUCAGCUCUCCGCCCUUGGAAGCCGCCUCAGUCUCCCGGUCGCAACCGCCUCAUCUCCUCUCUCUCACGCUCGUAGACCUCCCCUCACAACUCAAGAUAAGGGUGCUGAGCUCGCUUGUGGUUGGCUACGGCGGAUGCUUGAUCUGAGUUAAGCUCUUGCUUGUGACUUGGGAGAAGGCUCUAUCUACUCUACUUCAGAUAUGGUCACUGGAGUCUUCUGUCAUCUGGGUUUUUCUUUUUUCGUGCGAGUCUUGUGCUUUAGAUACAUUCAGCAAAAAAUAGAUACAUUCUUGACAUUUGAGGUUAAGCCAUGGUGAGCUUCCCUGUUGGUCUUCCAUGGCAGAUUUGAGGUGGGUUCUUGCUCGUCUCAGGUGGCACCCUUUUGCUUGAGUUUGCUCUGUUCUUAGGUUCAGUGGCUGCAGUGGAAUGUUGCUGAAACUUGUCCUUUUUCAUAGACGGGUCCUGUGCAUUGUUAUCGGCAUUUCGAUGGCAUUUCGAUACAACGAUGAAUCUUGAUUUUGAUGUAUCUGGUGAUUUUGCUAAGAAAACAUGGUUUUACGAUGCUCCCCGUUGGUAGAGUGGAGAAAAUGAAUGAGGAGAUACAGUCUAAGCUUCCUGGUGCUC
Non-coding RNA from Punica granatum (pomegranate), 843 nucleotides. The record is from RefSeq and is a predicted model, not a curated record. NCBI's taxonomy places the organism in Eukaryota, Viridiplantae, Streptophyta, Magnoliopsida, Myrtales, Lythraceae.